This 494-nucleotide ribosomal RNA is filed under the name uncultured bacterium. RNAcentral's name for it is "partial 16S ribosomal RNA". It matches the Rfam family "Bacterial small subunit ribosomal RNA", at positions 28 to 507 of the family's 1533-position model. The record is from RNAcentral.
GACGAACGCUGGCGGCGUGCUUAACACAUGCAAGUCGAACGGAAAGGCCUGCUUUCCCUUGUGUGUUGCGGUUACUCGCGUGGCGAACGGGUGAGUAACACGUGCGUUAUCUUCCCCCAACUUUUGUAUAAGCCUGGGCAACUGGGUCUAAUUCCCUCUAGGACUGCAGGGUGGUUCCUGUGGUGGAAAACGAUUUUCUAGUGGUUGGGGAUGAGCUCGUGGCCUAUCAGCUUGUUGGUGGGGUAAUGGCCUACGAAGGCGGCGAAGGGUAGCCGGCCUGGGAGAGUGGACGGGCACAGUGGGACUGAGAUACGGCGCAGAAGACAACGGGAGGCAGCAGUGGGGAAGAAGGAGCAAGGGGCAGAAGACUGAUGGAGCGAGGCCGAGGGGGGGAUGACGGGCGUGGGAUUGUGAACUCCUUGCGACCGAGAGGAAGCGACCUGGAUGGAAGGGGGGUGACGGUAGUGGUAGAAGAAGCACCGGCUAACUACGUG